Molecule: long non-coding RNA, 523 nt
Organism: Chelmon rostratus (copperband butterflyfish)
Lineage: Eukaryota; Metazoa; Chordata; Actinopteri; Chaetodontiformes; Chaetodontidae
Exons: 3
Source: RefSeq, a predicted model, not a curated record
AUUAAGGCCCGCACUAUCAGUGAGACCCCUACCUGCUCAGCCUGUUGAUGCUGACUACAGCUGUCACGAAUAACACACUGUCUGACGAUGUGCGACCUGCCCCAGAUGUUGGCUCCUCGGGCUCCCCAUACAGCUCAACCUGCGGAGGUCUGAAGAGCACUUACAAACACAACAGCGAGAGCAAACACGUGUUGAUUAACGCGAGACUACAAACGAACUAACAGGAGGACAAAACCCCGCCGCCCGUGUGCCAUCAAAGCACAAAGACAGAAUCCAACUCAUGUUCUGCAAGGGAUGCUAAUUGGUGAUCAAAAACACAUGAAGCAGAGGCACAUGGUGCACGAGUGGGCUGUUUGCCGCAGUUGGCUGUGUGAGGAGAAGGUGCGAGAGCUGAUCCCACUCUGUGUGUUCGGGCUGAGGGCCGGGCAGCUGCAGCACCGACAGGAGAACAACACCAAUCAGCAGCUCUGAUUGAGACGCUGCCUCGAACUGCUCCGACUGGGACCAGAUGGAGCACAGAAUC